UGGGGAAUUUUGGACAAUGGGCGCAAGCCUGAUCCAGCAAUGCCGCGUGCAGGAUGAAGGCCUUCGGGUUGUAAACUGCUUUUGUACGGAGCGAAAAGGCGAUUUUUAAUACGAAAAGCUAAUGACGGUACCGUAAGAAUAAGCACCGGCUAACUACGUGCCAGCAGCCGCGGUAAUACGUAGGGUGCAAGCGUUAAUCGGAAUUACUGGGCGUAAAGCGUGCGCAGGCGGUUUUGUAAGACAGAUGUGAAAUCCCCGGGCUCAACCUGGGACCUGCAUAUGUGACUGCAAGACUAGAGUGUGGUAGAGGGGGAUGGAAUUCCGCGUGUAGCAGUGAAAUGCGUAGAUAUGCGGAGGAACACCGAUGGCGAAGGCAAUCCCCUGGACCUGAACUGACGCUCAUGCACGAAAGCGUGGGGAGCAAACAGG
RNAcentral lists this ribosomal RNA (429 nucleotides) under uncultured bacterium. RNAcentral's name for it is "bacterial SSU rRNA". It matches the Rfam family "Bacterial small subunit ribosomal RNA", at positions 355 to 776 of the family's 1533-position model. The record is from RNAcentral.